GAUCAUGGCUCAGAACGAACGCUGGCGGCAGGCCUAACACAUGCAAGUCGAACGCCCUAGCAAUAGGGAGUGGCAGACGGGUGAGUAACACGUGGGAACCUUCCCUAUAGUACGGAAUAGCUCAGGGAAACUUGAAGUAAUACCGUAUACGCCCGAGAGGGGAAAGAUUUAUCGCUAUAGGAUGGGCCCGCGUCGGAUUAGCUAGUUGGUGAGGUAAUGGCUCACCAAGGCGACGAUCCGUAGCUGGUUUGGGAGAACGACCAGCCACACUGGGACUGAGACACGGCCCAGACUCCUACGGGAGGCAGCAGUGGGGAAUAUUGGACAAUGGGCGCAAGCCUGAUCCAGCCAUGCCGCGUGAGUGAUGAAGGCCUUAGGGUUGUAAAGCUCUUUUAGCAGGGAAGAUAAUGACUGUACCUGCAGAAUAAGCUCCGGCUAACUUCGUG
Molecule: ribosomal RNA, 446 nt
Filed under: uncultured bacterium
Lineage: Bacteria
Description: bacterial SSU rRNA
Rfam family: Bacterial small subunit ribosomal RNA
Source: RNAcentral